UUCCACAGCUACUGGUCUGCAGCUGUUCUUACGGUAGCAGUUGUGGCAUUCCUCUGUGGGAAAGAAACUGUUAACACAAACACCUCUUUCUUAGCAAAACAGAAAGUGGGCAUAUGUGUGACAGACACAA
This 130-nucleotide small nucleolar RNA is filed under the name Piliocolobus tephrosceles (Ugandan red Colobus). RNAcentral's name for it is "Small nucleolar RNA SNORA41 (ENSPTEG00000033718.1)". It matches the Rfam family "Small nucleolar RNA SNORA41". Rfam says of the family: ACA41 is a member of the H/ACA class of snoRNA that guide the sites of modification of uridines to pseudouridines. The record is from Rfam by way of RNAcentral. Lineage: Eukaryota; Metazoa; Chordata; Mammalia; Primates; Cercopithecidae.